GGAUCCUAAAAAUCAUUUGAAAAGAAAAAAGGCCAAGAAGAGCCACAAUAAUCUUCUUCCUUUUAAAGAAGGUGAAGAAUUGUCCUAACAUACAAUAGUGUGGUACAGGAACAGGCAAACAGAUGAAGUGAAUGAGACACAAAGGUUAGAAGCAAACCUGUCUUUGUAUGGGAAUGUGGUAUGUGGUAGAGGUCACAUUACAAACCACAGAAAAAGCAUGGAAGGUUCAUUAAGUGGUUCUGAAACAUGGAAAGGUAAAAUUGAAGACAAAGGUGAAAGAAACAAAGAUCUUUAACACUUUAAAAAGCAAAUAUAUGAAAAUGUCUUUAUGACCUCUGGCCAAAGAUUUCUUAAAACACAAAAGCAAAGCCAUAAAAGAAUAUGCUGCUAAAUUAACUAAUGAAACUUUAAAAAAAAUUUUUUUCAUGAAGAAACAACGUAAAGUACAAAGACAAGCCACAGACUGGAAGAAGGUAUCUGCAAUGCAUAUAAUCAAUAAAGGAUUAGUGUCUGUAAUAUAUAACUCCUAUGAAAAUAAACAAAGAUAUUAUCAGACACCUUAGAAGAAAAAACCUAAAUGAUCAACAAACACAUGAAAAUAAAUUCGAUCUCACUAGUAAUUAGGAAAAUGAAAAUUAAAAUAUAUUUUACCACCAUUCACAGUCAGCCAACUAGCAACAAUUUAAAAGUCUUGGUGGGGAACAGAAAUACAUAAUACCUAGUAGAGUUGAAGAUGUGAAUAGCCUAUAACCUAGCAUUUUCCAUUUCUAAGCCUCAAUCUUCAAUCAAGUCACACACAUAUUUUUAAAAACCAUGCACUUGGAUGUUCAUUGUGUCACUGUAAUACUAAAAAUGUCAAAGCAACAUUUUUAGUAUUUCUUAGUAUCUUUUAGAGUUAGAAUGGAUAUAUGAACUGUGGUUUACUACUUCAAUGAACUAUCAUACAGCAGGCAAAAUAAAUGAACUCAUUAUAUCAACACCUGUUCUAUAUUCCAAGUUAAAUUUCUCUAGCUAUUUCCAGACCAGACCUUGAAUUUCCACCUUUGUGCCAGUGCUCAUGGUUAUUGUCUUUCCUCUCACUUUUAGCCCAAAUUUUAAUGAUAUAAUUUAAAUGCCCCUUCCUCCUAAAACAUCCCAGGAUCCUUUAAAUUCUGAUAUUAGAAAUUAGAAAACCAAGACCAAAAAAAGUUGAGUCAUGCUAAGUUCACAUGGCAGAUGACUGGCAGAAUUGGAACCAGAACCCUGGUCUUUAUAUCCGUCUUUAUACCCAUGCAAGGCCACAGAUAAUCUCAAAAGAUGAUAAAAUACAGAACAAAUCCCAAUUCCUAGCCUAGGCCACUUUAUCCCACAAACAUCCCUGGAACAGCUGUGGUCCCAGCUUCUACAACCCCUUCUAGCCUGUGAAGUGUUAAGAUCUGGCUUCACUACUAUGUGACUAUGAGUCUAUGUGACGUUGAGUAAGUCAAACUCUCUUGUGCCUCAGUUUCCUUAUCUGUUAGCUGCCAAUAAUUCCUGCCUGGCUACUGCAUAAGCUCAUUAAUAGAAUCAAACGAAAUAAACGAUAAUAAACUAGAAUUGUAUUAAAUACAUAGAAAUAUUUACCUUUUUAUUAUUUUCAAGAUAUAGAAAUGCCUGCCCUCUUGCUAAAAGAAUCAUGGGAUGUCUGAUUUGUAAAUAAAUUUAAUUUUGAGAGUUUGCCAUUGCUUGGUGAUGGAGGGGAGAUGUUGUCCUUAUACAAGAAGCAGGACUCUGAAAGCUCUACUCCCUUUUCCUGCCCUCUUCUGCUUGGAGGUUUUGUGCCACUGAGUUCCUUGGCACAGGAGGACCAGCAGGCAGACUGGGGUCCCCGGAGGCGGGAGCAGCCAGCCCUGACAAAAUACUGAAGUUGGUCAAGAUUGUCUUUAAAAUCUCUUCCCUGUGCUCUUUCCCCCGGUUUAGCCUUCGCUACAUCUUUCCUGGGUUACUGAGGAAGGGGUUCUAUACAACCUCCUCCCUCUCCACCAACCACUAUUCAGUUUCCCACCAUUCAAGAUCUACAAGGGGCCAGGCGCGGUGGCUCACGCCUGUAAUCCCAGCACUUUGGGAGGCCGAGCUGGGCGAAUCACUUGAGGCCAGAAGUUUGAGACCAGCCUGGCCAACAUGGAGAAACCCCAUCUCUACUAAAAAUACAAAAAUUAGCCAGGUAUGUGGCACACAUCUGUAAUCCUGGCUACUCGGGAGGCUGAAGCAGGAGAAUUGCUUGAACCCGGGAGGCAAAGGCUGCAGUGAACUGAGAUCACACCACUGCACUCCAGCCUGGGUGAUAAGAGUGAGACUCCAUCUCUAAAAAAAAAAUAAAAAUAAAAAAGACCCACAAGGACCAAAGACUACGAGGUUGGGAAAUGUGCCUGGCCCCAUUUUGGCAGAGUCAGUAUUCAACAAAUGCUGAACUGAGCCAAAAGGACUGCCUGUGUGUCUUCCCCAUUAACCAGCAGCUUUGUCCUAAGCAGGUCCUCCUGUUCACAAGGAAAACGUCUGAUGGUUCCCUUCCCACAGACUACUGGGGACCACUGCAUUUGCCCUCCCCUCCUAGGCUCUAUGCAUUUUCAGACAGGCCCCUGGAGAGGAAUGGUAAACCUGGGGGCGGUCACAUAGGGCAGUUAGGGCAGUGGAGGGAGGAACAACGGUUGAGAGUGUAGGGGCUUGAGGACUCUACUCCCUUCCCUUUCUUGCCCUGACUCCUCUGCUGCAGCCCAGAGGUGUCACACCACCAUGUUCCCUGACAUCAGCAGGCAGGUGGCCUGAGGUGUCUACAGUCAGAGCUACGGCUGAGAAAGGCUUUGAAGUUACACAGGUUAUGUUACCUCUCUUUUUUCAUUUUUAAAAUAAAGAAAUAUUUUCCAUUCUCCUGCUUUACAAAGCUGUUAAGAAGAUUAAAUGUAAAAACGAGUAAAAAGAGAAGUAGGACAGUCAAGUCUGCCAGGCCCUCCUGCCUGUGACCCUUGGGUCGCUGCCAGCUUGGACCUCAGUCCAGCUUCCCAGGGCUCCCUCCGAUGGUCCUCCUCUCACCCAGACCAAGGACACUAGGACUAAACAUGGGAGGCCCCGCCCUCCUGAGUGACUCUUUAUCUAUACAGGAUUGUAUUCUCUGCCAAAUAGACCAAAAGGAAGGAAGGCCGGCAAGACAUUAGCUCUUUUCUUAGCUCUCAAAUAGCUGACAUUUCAGGAAACUGAAAUUCUGAAUGGGACCAGAGGUGAUUUCAAUUCAUUGUGCCUGUCUGCAGAGUCAGUCUAUAUGAGGACUCCAUUAUAUAGGACGUACUUCUAGAAGUUCAGCGAAACCCUUGUCAAUAAAUCUCUUU
This 3341-nucleotide long non-coding RNA is filed under the name Homo sapiens (human). RNAcentral's name for it is "HSALNT0276020". Lineage: Eukaryota; Metazoa; Chordata; Mammalia; Primates; Hominidae. The record is from RNAcentral.